Molecule: long non-coding RNA, 1109 nt
Filed under: Mytilus galloprovincialis (Mediterranean mussel)
Lineage: Eukaryota; Metazoa; Mollusca; Bivalvia; Mytilida; Mytilidae
Source: RNAcentral
GGUGUUUGUUUCUAUGGGGCGACUGCUGAAAGAGUUCUCAAUAUCUUAGCGACUGGGAAAUUCAGAUCAGGUUAGUACACAAAAUCAAAGUAAAAUUCACAGUGUCCUGUUGCGUUCAAUAUACACCAGUAGUCAAGACAAUAAAACAGUCUAUAAUAAUCAAAUCAUGCUCUUUCCUUCGUAACAUAAAAGUUCUCAUCUUUAUGAUUUCUUUUGAUUAACAUAUUCGUAUGUCUAUUUUAACGUACUUAACUUUCUUCAACUCAUUCACAUUAUGUAUAACUAUGAUCUUUCUCCUUCGCUUACUCAACAGUGCGUAAACCAAAGGACUGCUCAGACUUGGACCCUAAGCAUGACAUCAGUGGAGUGUAUACAAUAUAUCCCACUGCCGGAAGGGGAUUCAAGGUUUAUUGUAGUUUUAUGAUCGAACUUUUUUCUUUUAAUUAACAUAGUCAUAUAUGUCUCUUUUGACGUAUUUCCUUCAUUUUCCUUAAUUCAUUCACAUGGUGCAUAAUAUCUGUCUCCUUCGUUUACUCAACAGUACGUAAACCUAAGGACUGUUCAGACUUGGACCCUAAACAUGACCCUAGUGGAGUGUAUAGAAUAUAUCCCACAGCCGGAAAGGGAUUCAAUGUGCAUUGUGAUAUGACGACCGACGGUGGCCGCUGGACUGUGAGUUAUCUGUGAAUUUAAAUUUGUUCAUGCUUUUGCACUUGGAUGAAAAAUAAAGAAUUUAAUUUAAUACGAAUGAUAUUCAACAUGAUAUAUUUCCAAACUCUCACUUGCAUACAAAAGAUGUAAGUUAGCCUUAGCAUGAAUCUAUAACAGCAGUAACGAAUCUAAGAUUUUCAGAAAUCAGGAAGGGAAGGACCAACAGGGGAAAAGAACAAGCAUGUGAGGUCAAAAUUCGAAAAUUGUAAAAAAUAAUAAUAAUUGACUUUUACGCAUCUAAUGUGGGGUUUUUUUUUCCGGACAAGCAGUAACCUGAUAUACCUUUUACAUUCCAAGGUUUUAAUCAGACGAAUGGAUGGUUCUCAAAAUUUCAACAAAAAUUGGAUAGAAUAUGAAAAUGGUUUUGGAGAUUUAAAUCGAGAAUUUUGGUUAGGUAA